This 1370-nucleotide unclassified non-coding RNA is filed under the name Hevea brasiliensis (rubber tree). The record is from RNAcentral. Lineage: Eukaryota; Viridiplantae; Streptophyta; Magnoliopsida; Malpighiales; Euphorbiaceae.
UUUUUUUUUUUUUUUUUUUACUUCCCACUUUCCCAACAAUAACAAAGAACACCUUUUCCCCUCUCUAGUUUCCUUUUUAUUUUUUUUUAUCUUCUGAAUGCAUGUGCAAUAUUUUGCAAAUGGAGUAAGUUCAACUGUUUGAUAUCUUAGCUUGGGAAAUGCGAUACAUGUAGUUCUCAAGCACAGUUAUAAAAUCAUAACAUGGUGCCUAUUAAAUUCUUAUUGGUUUUCCUCCUAACUUUUGAAGUGAUUUCGUUUGCAACAGCCCAAAUGACAUUUCCUAUGUCUUUUCUGGAUAUGCACCACUAAGUAUUCGUCUUGUUCAGCAUGCUGUUCGUUCUGGAUGGCGUCCCAUGGAAGAAAUUUUGAAGUUGUUGCCUGGACCACACUCGGAAACAAAGAGAGUCUGUUUACUUACUCUUCCGGCUUCUCAUUUCUGUCUUUAUAUUUUGAUAACUGGCAGUAUUAAUACCUUGUACUACUUUUUCAGGUUGGAUUCUCAAGCAGUCCAUCUUUUGACACAUUACACAGGUCUUCAGAAGCUGCAGACAGGUAUAUCUAAAUUCCUUCUGUGUUCUUUUGUUCUGCUUAAGCUACAUUUCUAGUUUGUGGAUAUUGCCAUUUUUUUGGUGGGUAUCAUUAUCAAAAUUCCCCAUAAAUGCAGAAAUAUCCAUGUCCCAUGACUGGCAAGAACUAUUGAUAAUGGUUAUAGAACCAUGAAAUCCUUGUUCAUGGAACUGAGUGUCAAUCCUCUAUUCAUUGUUGUUAUACAAAUUCAUUUCCAACUUGUAUCAUGCAACAUUUAGAUCUUCAUUUAUUUUUCCGUGCUAUAACACUAUUAAACAUCUCAGAUUAGUAGCUGACGGAAGACGCUCCCUUGUACUUGUUGUAUUUAUUGGAGGGGUUACAUUUGCAGAAAUUUCUGCUCUCCGAUUUCUUAGUGCUCAGGAAGGGAUGGCAUAUGAUAUGAUUAUUGGAACAACAAAUAUUGUCAAUGGCAAUACCUUGGCAGAGGCAUAUGUAGAGCAUUUGGUUUGAUUAUUUGAUUUUAAAUUGCUUUCCAAUUUCAUACUUUGAAGUGAAAAUUGAUUUGUGACCUACAGAACUUGGAAAUUAGACUUGCUAAAAUUCACGUGGGAGAUUUUGAAAUUCGAUUAUUUUGUGGUGAAACAAUUUGCCCCCUUCAUGGAGUUUCCUAGUGAGCUCAAUGGAACCAAGAGUUUUUAUAAAUCAGAUGGGUUUGAUUUUAACAAGUAUUGUACUUGGUUUUUAUUUGCAAAUAAUCUUCUACAGAGAUGUUAAAUUGAAGAUGUAGUGCAAGUAAAGCAGGCUCAUAAUGUAAUCUUUGUUUUAUGCCUCUACGAUUUUUU